AUACGUAGGUGGCAAGCGUUGUCCGGAAUUACUGGGUGUAAAGGGAGCGCAGGCGGGCGUGCAAGUCAGCUGUGAAAUCCAUGGGCUUAACCCGUGGGCUGCAGUUGAAACUGUAUGUCUUGAGUGAAGUAGAGGUAGGCGGAAUUCCGAGUGUAGCGGUAAAAUGCGUAGAUAUUCGGAGGAACACCGGUGGCGAAGGCGGCCUACUGGGCUUUAACUGACGCUGAGGCUCGAAAGUGUGGGGAGCAAACAGGAUUAGAUACCCUGGUAGUCCACACUGUAAACGAUGAUUGCUAGGUGUGGGGGGUCUGACCCCUUCCGUGCCGCAGUUAACGCAAUAAGCAAUCCACCUGGGGAGUACGGCCGCAAGGCUAAAACUCAAAGGAAUUGACGGGG
Molecule: ribosomal RNA, 396 nt
Filed under: uncultured bacterium
Lineage: Bacteria
Description: partial 16S ribosomal RNA
Rfam family: Bacterial small subunit ribosomal RNA
Source: RNAcentral